RNAcentral lists this ribosomal RNA (482 nucleotides) under uncultured bacterium. Its description in RNAcentral is "bacterial SSU rRNA". It matches the Rfam family "Bacterial small subunit ribosomal RNA", at positions 32 to 507 of the family's 1533-position model. The record is from RNAcentral.
AACGCUAGCGGCAGGCUUAAUACAUGCAAGUCGUGGGGCAGCAUGAAGUAGCAAUACUUUGAUGGCGACCGGCAAACGGGUGCGGAACACGUACACAACCUUCCUUUUAGUGGGGAAUAGCCCAGAGAAAUUUGGAUUAAUACCCCGUAACAUAGCGAUGUGGCAUCACAUUGCUAUUAUAGCUUCGGCGCUAGAUGAUGGGUGUGCGUAUGAUUAGAUAGUUGGCGAGGUAACGGCUCACCAAGUCUACGAUCAUUAGCUGAUGUGAGAGCAUGAUCAGCCACACGGGCACUGAGACACGGACCAGACUCCUACGGGAGGCAGCAGUGAGGAAUAUUGGUCAAUGGGCGAGAGCCUGAACCAGCCAAGUCGCGUGAAGGAAGAAUGUCCUAUGGAUUGUAAACUUCUUUUUUAGGGGAAUAAAGUGCGGUACGUGUACCGUUUUGUAUGUACCCUACGAAUAAGGAUCGGCUAACUCCGUG